UACAAAGCACUGUGAAUGAAGGUAGUU
RNAcentral lists this non-coding RNA (27 nucleotides) under Cricetulus griseus (Chinese hamster). Lineage: Eukaryota; Metazoa; Chordata; Mammalia; Rodentia; Cricetidae. The record is from RNAcentral.